The sequence is a ribosomal RNA, 435 nucleotides long. It matches the Rfam family "Bacterial small subunit ribosomal RNA", at positions 341 to 792 of the family's 1533-position model.
ACGGGAGGCAGCAGUGGGGGACAUUGCACAAUGGGCGAAAGCCUGAUGCAGCGACGCCGCGUGAGGGAAGACGGUUUUCGGAUUGUAAACCUCUGUCUUCGGGGACGAAAAAGGACGGUACCCGAGGAGGAAGCCACGGCUAACUACGUGCCAGCAGCCGCGGUAAUACGUAGGUGGCAAGCGUUAUCCGGAUUUACUGGGUGUAAAGGGCGCGUAGGCGGGGAUGCAAGUCAGGUGUGAAAUCUAUGGGCUUAACCCAUAAACUGCAUUUGAAACUGUAUCUCUUGAGUGUCGGAGAGGUAGACGGAAUUCCUAGUGUAGCGGUGAAAUGCGUAGAUAUUAGGAGGAACACCAGUGGCGAAGGCGGUCUACUGGACGAUAACUGACGCUGAGGCGCGAAAGCGUGGGGAGCAAACAGGAUUAGAUACCCUGGUA